GGUUAUGUUAAAAUCUACACUCUGAUUGUGAAUUUAUCCAUUUCUUGUAACUUUUUUACUGUUCUGCUUUUUAUAGUUUCUGUUAGGUUGGAUGCCCAGCAGCAGCCCCUGGAGGGGAAGGAGGUUGAACAGACGUGGGGAUGUGCUGGAUGGAAGUCAAGAGCCUCUGCAGAAUUCUUCUGUUUCCUGCUGCUACAAACCCUGAGAAUCCCCAACAUCUGACAUUGUGUGGCAACUGCACAUUUGAUACAUUGAAGGUCACCGUUUGUGGAAAGCAUUGGUGCAGAUAAAGGCUACAAAGCCCAGCAAAAAUUUCCCUUGCAGUUGGCUACUGUCAAAGACCAUGCUGGCAUUGAAUUCACAGGACAUGUUCUUCUUGGAUUGUCCUGAGGCCUGAAGAGUUCACAUGGUUAUCUUCUUCCAAAUACCUCCUAAAUUGUCAUCUAGGCCAAAGUUUGUAUAUGAUUAGACUGCAGAGCCUUUGGAUCUAAGUGUUUACUGUAUUCAUUCAUCCAGA
Molecule: long non-coding RNA, 517 nt
Organism: Zalophus californianus (California sea lion)
Lineage: Eukaryota; Metazoa; Chordata; Mammalia; Carnivora; Otariidae
Exons: 5
Source: RefSeq, a predicted model, not a curated record